This is a long non-coding RNA of Oncorhynchus keta (chum salmon), 3375 nucleotides long. RefSeq lists it as uncharacterized. The transcript is spliced from 3 exons. The record is from RefSeq and is a predicted model, not a curated record. NCBI's taxonomy places the organism in Eukaryota, Metazoa, Chordata, Actinopteri, Salmoniformes, Salmonidae.
AAUAUAUCAAGCAAGCGUGUCCUCUCAAACUGCUAGCUACAUCACCCUGUAACCUCCAUGUGUGCCCUUGCCAAGCAUUAGUCUUCAAUGUUUGCCCGCAGAAGAAGAUCAGAAGAAGAGCCGUUCCAGUGCUCUCUCUGCUUGGAUGUAUUUAGUGAUCCAGUCACCACCAGUUGUGGACACAAUUUCUGCAUGGCCUGUCUCAAUGAAUACUGGGAUAGCAGACACCAGUAUCAAUGUCCACUAUGUCAGGAGAGAUUCCCCAGAAAACCUAGUUGUCAACACAGCAUUCAGAGAUGUUGUUGAUAGAUUUAAAGCAAGAAGAACAGCCCCUGCCCUUUACCCUGGAAUUGUUUGGAUCACGGUCCUGAUCUUGGUCAUGAUCUUUGUCCUGAUUUUGGUGUUUGUGGCAGACCUGGGUCAGCUCUCACCGCAUCUCCUACAGGACCUCCCAUCCAAGGACAGAUCUGGGAAGGACUGGUGGUGGAGACAGUGAGAGGAACUUCAGAAUGGACUGGGCUAUACUUGGUAGUUUAAAAAAUAUAUAUAUAUAUACAGUUGAAGUCUGAAGUUUACAUACACCUUAGCCAAAUACAUUUAAACUCAGUUUCAAAAUUCAUGACAUAAAAAUUCCCUGUCUUAGGUCAGUUAGGAUCACCACAUUAUUUUAAAUAAUAGUAGAGAGAAUGAUUUAUUUCAGUUUUUAUUUAUUUCAUCACAUUCCCAGUGGGUCAGAAGUUUACAUACACUCAAUUGGUAUUUGUUAGCAUUGCCUUUAAAUUGUUUAACUUGGGUCGAACGUUUUGGGUAGCCUUCCACAAGCGUCCCACAAUAAGUUGGGUGAAUUUUGGCCCAUUCCUCCUGACAGAGCUGGUGUAACUGAGUCAGGUUUGUAGGCCUCCUUGCUCGUACAAGCUUUUUCAGUUCUGCCCACAAAUUUUCUAUAGGAUUUGAGGUCAGGGCUUUGCAAUGGCUCCUCCAAUAUCUUGACUUUGUUGUCCUUAAGCCAUUUUGCUACAACUUUGGAAGUAUGCUUGGGGUCAAUGUUCAUUUGGAAGACCCAUUUGCGACCAAGCUUUAACUUCCUGACUGAUGUCUGGAGAUGUUGUUUCAAUAUAUCCACAUAAUUUUCCUACCUCAUGAUGCCAUCUAUUUUGUGAAAUGCACCAGUCCCUCCUGCAGCAAAACACCCCCACAACAUGAUGCUGCCACCCCUGUGCUUCACAGUUGGGAUGGUGUUCUUCGGCUUGCAAGGCUCCCCCUUUUUCCUCCAAACAUAACGAUGGUCAUUAUGGCCAAACAAUUCUAUUUUUGUUUCAUCAGACCAGAGGACAUUUCUCCAGAAAGUACGAUCUUUGUCCCCAUGUGCAGUUGCAAACCGUAGUCUGGCUUUUUUAUGGCGGUUUUGGAGCAGUGGCUUCUUCCAUGCUGAGCGGCCUUUCAGGUUGUCGAUUUAGGACUCGUUUUACUGUGGAUAUAGAUACUUUUGUGCGUGUUUCCUCCAGCAUCUUCACAAGGUCCUUUACUGUUGUUCAGGGAGUGAUUUGCACUUUUCACAGCAAAGUACGUUCAUCUCUAGGAGACAGAACGCGUCUCCUUCCUGAGCGGUAUGACAGCUGCAUGGUCCCAUGGUGUUUAUACUUGCGUACUAUUGUUUGUACAGAUGAACGUGGUACCUUCAGGUGUUUGGAAAUUACUCCCAAGGAUGAACCAGACUUGUGGAGGUCUACAAUUUUUUGUUGUUGAAGUCUUGUCUGAUUUAUUUUGAUUUUCCCAUGAUGUCAAGCAAAGAGGCAGUUUGAAGGUAGGCCUUGAAAUACAUCCACAGGUACACCUCCAAUUGACUCAAAUGAUGUCAAUUAGCCUAUGAGAAGCUUCUAAAGCCAUGACAUAAUUUUCUGGAAUUUUCCAAGCUGUUUAAAGGCACACUGAGUUGACUGUAUGUAAACUUCUGACCCAUUGGAAUUGUGAUACAGUGAAUUAUAAGUGAAAUAAUCUGUCUGUAAACAAUUUUUGAAAAAAUGACUUAUGUCAUGCACAAAGUAGAUGUCCUUACCGACUUGCCAAAACUCUAGUUUGUUAACAAGAAAUUUGUGGAGUGGUUGAAAAACGAGUUUUAAUAACUCCAACCUAAGUGUAUGUAAACUUCCAACUUCAACUGUAUAUUGUCUUUGGAUGACAUGUACUGUGACAUGUACUGACUGAUUUCGCCUAGUGUCUAUUUGUUACUGAUAUAUCAAAAGGGUCUCAACGCAACCUAACACUUUACCUUUGUACUUGUCUUUUCUUUCUACCAACCGAUUUUGCUGAUUUGUUUUAUUGAGAAUGUUUUGUCGCUCUGGAUAAGAGCGUCUGCUAAAUACCAAAAACAAAUGUAAAACAUUUACUCUCCAGUCAGCUAAGGCCGGGAUUCGAUCCGAUCGUGAGCAUGGAUGUAAUGGUAAAGAAAAAUAGGUGGGUAAAGGCUAAUCACUGUUCGCGGUGAGUAACACUAUAUUUUCAAAAGGUUGGUAAAUGCUUGCUCAAAAUAAAAAAGGUGUGUAAAACAGCAUUUACGUGCAAUUACCUUCCACUACAUCUCUGAUCACGGGUUAUAGGCAUGGCGGUUUUUAAAGGCAAUGUACCCGCGUUCGCGGAGAUACCAUUCACUGUAAACGCUGCAUAUAUCGGCUCAAUCGGAAAUUGCUAUUAAAAGCUAUAAUUGCUAUUAAAAGCUAUAAUGCCUAUAACACGCAAUCAGAUUGAAUACCGGCCUAAAUCAUGAUGGUCUCAGAGAAUACUUUAGUCCAAUAGUAGUUUUGGAAAUGAUUUUUUUUUAUGUGUAGACAAGAAAAUACAAAACAAUAUGAUAACAGUUUAGAAAGAUAAUGAAAAGAGCAUGUGCAGGAGAGGCACAACACCCAGAGGCAACUCCCCCUUUCAAAUGUUUAGAAAACAAAGACAUACUGAUUCUUAAGACAGACAAGCAAAUCAUUCGAAAUUUACACAAACAACAAAAGGAAAACAUGAUGAAUUAGGGGGUAAAAAAAAUAAGAAAGAAUUUCAAGUAAAAUGUAGAAACAAAACGAGUGGCUGAUAGACAGAUAAUUAUUAGGUGGCUGAUAGGCAGAGAAUUAUUCGGCUGAGUCAAUGAGUGGAAUGUCCAGAAGAUAUUUUUUCAAUUUGAAUGUUGAGGCUGUUCCAGUGCUUACGGUGGUCCGGGAGACUGUUCCAGUGCUUACGGUGGUCCAGGAGACUGUUGCAGUGCUUACGGUGGUCCGGGAGACUGUUCCAGUGCUUACAGUGGUCCAGGAGACUGUUGCAGUGCUUACGGUGGUCCAGGAGACUGUUGCCAUGCUUACGGUGAUCUGGGAGACUGUUCCAGUGCUUACGGUG